Molecule: long non-coding RNA, 3033 nt
Filed under: Homo sapiens (human)
Lineage: Eukaryota; Metazoa; Chordata; Mammalia; Primates; Hominidae
Description: HSALNT0227767
Source: RNAcentral
GCCUGGACAACAGAGCAAGACUCCGUCUCAAAAAAAAAAAAAAGUGUAUACGUGCAGAGAACUAAAUAUCUCAGCAUGCAUGUGUGUGUGUUUGUGCACGUGCAUUCCCUUUUGGAAGAAAAAAUACAAAAUGUUCAUAUACAUAUUUCAUAUAAAUUUAUUAUAGGAUGCACUUAGAUCUCCUUUUUUUUUUUUUCCCAAAAAUAUAUCUAACUAGGUUUUCAGUACUUUUGGGUUCAGGGUGGCUUUCUUAGUGCUUCUCAGUUCAAAUGUUAGUUUCUUCCACCUCUUCUGCAGUAUCAGUGAAGUCUUUUUUCCCAGCUUGGAUCAGCGAAAGGAUUUAAAAUCUGCUAAUUUGGCCAGGUGUGGUGGUUCACGCCUGUAAUCCUAACACUGGGAGGCCAAGGCGGGCAGAUCACAAGGUCAGGAGUUCGAGACCAGCCUGACCAACGUGGUGAAACCCCGUCUCUACUAAAAAUACAAAAAUUAGUCAGGCGUGGUGGCGUGCGCCUGUAAUCCCAGCUACUCAGGAGGCUGAGGCAGGAGAAUCACUUGAACCCGGGAGGCAGAGGUUGCAGUGAGCUGAGAUCGUGCCACUGCAUCCCAGCUUGGGCAACAGAGCAAGACACUGUCUCAAAAAAAGAUAAUAAUAAAAUAUGCAAAUGUAUCCACAAAACGUAUGACAAUGGUUUGGCACCUUUUUUGCUAGGAUGUCAAAAUCCAGCAAUAAAGUUGUUCUAACCAGAUUCGAACUAGUUUUGGUGUUUUUUUUGUUUUUUUGAGACGGAGUUUCGCUCUGUCACCCACGCUGGAAUGCAGUGGCAUGAUCUCAGCUCACUGCAAGCUCCGCCUCCUGGGUUCACGCCAUUCUCCUGCCUCAGCCUCCCGAGUAGCUGGGACUACAGGUACCCGCCACCACACCCGGAUAAUGUUUUGUAUUUUUAGUAGAGAUGGGGUUUCACUGUGUUAGCCAGGAUGGUCUCGAUCUGACCUCGUGAUCCGCCUGUCUCGGCCUCCCAAAGUGCUGGGAUUACAGGCGUGAGCCACUGCGCCCGGGCCUAGAACUAGAAUAUCAUAUAUCAAAUCUAAGCAGUCAAAUCUUGCCCAAGUCUUAGUGAUUCAAAUACCCUUUGGGGACCAGUUCCCUUUCAAGCACUUCACUGGUAUUUUCUUUCAAGGUGUUAUGAGUGCAUAUGUCAAGAAUUUUUUGGCUGGGUGCGGUGGCUCACGCCUGUAAUCCCAGCACUUUGGGAGGCCAAGGCAGGUGGAUCAUCUGAGGUCAGGAGUUCAAGACCAGCCUAGCUGACAUGGUGAAACACUGUCUCUACUAAAAAUACAAAAAAUUAGCCAGGCUUGGUGGUGGGCGCCUGUAAUCCCAGCUACCAGGGAGGCUGAGGUAGGAGAAUCAGUGGAACCCGGAAAGCAGAGGUUGGCGGUGAGCUGAGAUUGUACCACUGUACUCCAGCCUGGGCAACAGAGCGAGACUCCAUCUGAAAAAAAAAAAAAAAAAGAAUUUUUUAGUUGUAAGAGACUGUUAAGUAGUGAACCCUAAUUAAACAAGGCUAAGGGGAAGAAAGGAAAUUUAUGAGCUCAUAGAACUUAAUUGUCCAGGUAAGGUUCGUGUCAGUAUCAUCAGAAACUCAGGCACUCUCUCUCCUUCUGUCAGUUCUGCUUUCCAUUCUCAGGCAGACUCACCCCUUGCGGCAACGUAACUGCCAGCAGUUCCAGGCUUAGGUGGUCUUUUCUCAGCAACUCCCACAAAGCCUUGCUCUUACAAAUACUUCCGUAAAACCUGGACCUGACUCUGGCCAGAACUGUGUCACACUGUUACGGGUGGAGGGUGUCCAGGUUCUUGACGUUUUGAAAAAAGAAUUGGACGAAACGCACAAAGCAAUGAAAGAAAAGCACAGAUUUAUUGAAACGAAAGUACACUCCACAGAGUAGGGAGCAGGUUAGAGGAAGUGACUCAACAAUGCUGGUUACAGAAUUUUCUGGGGUUUAAAUACCCUUCAGAGGUUUCCCAUUGGUAUGCCCUAUGUAAAUGAAGAGGGUAAGUGAAGUUACAAAGUUAUUUACUUGGCAUACACCCCAUGGAAAUGAAGAGGAUGUUUCCUGCCAUAGCUGAAGUGAAGUUACAAAGUUAUUUAGUUGGGCAUAGAAAGUUGGGGUUUUGGCCUGGAGGUGGGAGAGCGGGGAGGGCUCAUGCCUGUAAUCCAAACACUUUCGGAGGCGGAGGUGGGCGGACCUUUGGCCAACAUAGUGAAACUCCGUCUCUACUAAAAAUACAAAAAUUAGCCUAGCAUGGUGGGGGGUGCCUGUAAUCCCAGCUACUUGGGAGGCUGAGGCAGGAGAAUUGCUUGAACCCGGGAGGCGGAAGUUGCAGUGAGCCAAGAUCAGGCCACUGAACUCCAUCUAGAAAAAAAAAAAGACAGUUAAUUGGGGUUUUUCCCUUUUAUUGAGUUCUAGGAAGUAUGUAUGUUUGUUUGUUUAUUUAUUAAAACAGAGUCUCACUUUGUUGCCCAGGCUGUAGUGCAGUGGUAGGAUCUUGGCUCACUGCAACCUCUGCCUCCCAGGUUCAAGCGAUUUUCCUGCCUCAGCCUCCCAAGUAGCUGGGAUUACAGGUGCUCACCACCACACCAAGCUAAUUUUUCUAUUUUUAAUAGAGAUAGAAUUUCACCAUGUUGGCCAGGGUGGCCUCGAACUCCUGAUCUCAGGUGAUCCACCGGCCCCGGCAUCCCAACGUGCUGGGAUUACAGGUGUGAGCCACUGCACUCGGCCUAGUUCUAGGAAGUUUUUAGGUUCCCUGCCUCCAGACCCCAUUCUCCUGCAUCAACAUAAGCAUCCUGAAUCAAUCAUCCAGGCAGGACGGGCAGGUUAUACAGUUUUGUUGUAAACAGUUAUGUUAAGGCCAGGAUUACUUUGGAUAUUUGGGCUCACUUUGGUUCCACAUGAAUUUUAGGAUUUUUUUUUCUAUCUCUGAAAAUGUCAUUGGUAUUUUGAUAGGGAUUGAAAUGAAUCUGUAGAUCACUUUGG